Molecule: ribosomal RNA, 625 nt
Filed under: Grosmannia dryocoetidis
Lineage: Eukaryota; Fungi; Ascomycota; Sordariomycetes; Ophiostomatales; Ophiostomataceae
Description: eukaryotic LSU rRNA
Rfam family: Eukaryotic large subunit ribosomal RNA
Source: RNAcentral
UUGACCUCGGAUCAGGUAGGAUUACCCGCUGAACUUAAGCAUAUCAAUAAGCGGAGGAAAAGAAACCAACAGGGAUUGCCCCAGUAACGGCGAGUGAAGCGGCAACAGCUCAGAUUUGGAAUCUGGCCCUCGGGCCCGAGUUGUAAUCUGGAGAGGAUGCUUCUGGCGCGGUGCCUUCCGAGUUCCCUGGAACGGGACGCCGGAGAGGGUGAGAGCCCCGUACGGUUGGACACCUAGCUUCUGUGAAGCUCCUUCGACGAGUCGAGUAGUUUGGGAAUGCUGCUCAAAAUGGGAGGUAAAUUUCUUCUAAAGCUAAAUAUUGGCCAGAGACCGAUAGCGCACAAGUAGAGUGAUCGAAAGAUGAAAAGCACUUUGAAAAGAGGGUUAAAAAGUACGUGAAAUUGUUGAAAGGGAAGCGCCCGUGGCCAGACUUGCGCUGCGCGGACCACCCAGCGUUCUCGCUGGUGCACUCCGCGCGGCGCAGGCCAGCAUCGGUUUUCCUAGGGGGAUAAAGGCUGCGGGAACGUAGCUCCUUCGGGAGUGUUAUAGCCCGUGGCGUCAUACCCCUGGGGGGACCGAGGACCGCGCUUCGGCAAGGAUGCUGGCGUAAUGGCCACCGGCGACC